AACAGGAUUAGAUACCCUGGUAGUCCACGCUGUAAACGAUGUCGAUUUGGAGGUUGUGCCCUUGAGGCGUGGCUUCCGGAGCUAACGCGUUAAAUCGACCGCCUGGGGAGUACGGCCGCAAGGUUAAAACUCAAAUGAAUUGACGGGGGCCCGCACAAGCGGUGGAGCAUGUGGUUUAAUUCGAUGCAACGCGAAGAACCUUACCUACUCUUGACAUCCAGAGAACUUUCCAGAGAUGGAUCGGUGCCUUCGGGAACUCUGAGACAGGUGCUGCAUGGCUGUCGUCAGCUCGUGUUGUGAAAUGUUGGGUUAAGUCCCGCAACGAGCGCAACCCUUAUCCUUUGUUGCCAGCGGUUCGGCCGGGAACUCAAAGGAGACUGCCAGUGAUAAACUGGAGGAAGGUGGGGAUGACGUCAAGUCAUCAUGGCCCUUACGAGUAGGGCUACACACGUGCUACAAUGGCGUAUACAAAGAGAAGCGACCUCGCGAGAGCAAGCGGACCUCAUAAAGUACGUCGUAGUCCGGAUUGGAGUCUGCAACUCGACUCCAUGAAGUCGGAAUCGCUAGUAAUCGUAGAUCAGAAUGCUACGGUGAAUACGUUCCCGGGCCUUGUACACACCGCCCGUCACACCAUGGGAGUGGGUUGCAAAAGAAGUAGGUAGCUUAACCUUCGGGAGGGCGCUUACCACUUUGUGAUUCAUGACUGGGGUGAAGUCGUAACAAGGUAACCGUAGGGGAACCUGCGGCUGGAUCACCUCCUU
Molecule: ribosomal RNA, 761 nt
Filed under: uncultured bacterium
Lineage: Bacteria
Description: bacterial SSU rRNA
Rfam family: Bacterial small subunit ribosomal RNA
Source: RNAcentral